This 103-nucleotide non-coding RNA is filed under the name Paraphysomonas imperforata. The record is from RNAcentral. Lineage: Eukaryota; Chrysophyceae; Chromulinales; Paraphysomonadaceae.
UCCUGCGAAAAAUGUGAUGCAAAAGCAAUUGGAAAAAGAUGUGGUGUCUAUAGAGGAAGAAGUGGAUGAAAAGAUUACUCUGAGUGAAGCAAGCACAAGCCAA